GAUGAACGCUGGCGGCGUGCCUAAUACAUGCAAGUCGAGCGAACAGAUGAGGAGCUUGCUCCUCUGACGUUAGCGGCGGACGGGUGAGUAACCCGUGGAUAACCUACCUAUAAGACUGGGAUAACUUCGGGAAACCGGAGCUAAUUCCGGAUAAUAUAUUGAACCGCAUGGUUCAAUAGUGAAAGACGGUUUUGCUGUCACUUGUAGAUGGAUCCGCGCCGCAUUAGCUAGUUGGUAAGGUAAAGGCUUACCAAGGCAACGAUGCGUAGCCGACCUGAGAGGGUGAUCGGCCACACUGGAACUGAGACACGGUCCAGACUCCGACGGGAGGCAGCAGUAGGGAAUCUUCCGCAAUGGGCGAAAGCCUGACGGAGCAACGCCGCGUGAGUGAUGAAGGGCUUCGGAUCGUAAAACUCUGUUAUUAGGGAAGAACAAAUGUGUAAGUAACUAUGCACGUCUUGACGGUACCUAAGCAGAAAGCCACGGCUAACUACGU
This 496-nucleotide ribosomal RNA is filed under the name uncultured bacterium. Its description in RNAcentral is "partial 16S ribosomal RNA". It matches the Rfam family "Bacterial small subunit ribosomal RNA", at positions 28 to 506 of the family's 1533-position model. The record is from RNAcentral.